Molecule: non-coding RNA, 405 nt
Organism: Puma concolor (puma)
Lineage: Eukaryota; Metazoa; Chordata; Mammalia; Carnivora; Felidae
Source: RefSeq, a predicted model, not a curated record
CGACGCUGCUGGGCGCGCGCUGGGCGCGGACUCUUGUCAGCACGGCCGCAGGUGGCCCCCGGGGUGCACCUCGCCGUCCACCUGUCCUCGCUCCGGUGCGGACGGGCCUCUCGGCCGAAUUCCACAAGUCCUUCAGCACCAGGAACCGCGCAGAGCUGCUGCCACGCGAAUUGCCCCGAAACUUCAGCCUCCACCUCGGCACUGUUUGGUACUUCAAGACUAUGAAAGAUUUUGUCUUCUCAGGAAAUGUGUUGUUCACCAUGGUGCUAGUAGAAUAAACCAGUUGUCUUAAAAAGUUGGACACAAGCUACAAAUCACAUAAACUCUACAAAAUAGCUGGACCGUGUGGAUGGUCACCUCUAGGAGUCUCAGUGUCACUCACAAGAUAUUGCAGACUUCCUUCUC